CGCUCAAACUACACACCCGGAGCUGAUGAAUACGAAGAAGAAGGUUCAAGAAGGCGUUAUCUCAACCCUCAAUUUAAUUGGCCCAUUUAAAAUCAUCGAUCGAGUAGGAACUGUGGCCUAUAGACUCAUUUUACCUCCAAGUAUGUCGCGUGUUCAUAACGUUUUUCACGUAUCGUUGUUAGUAAAAAACUUAGUCUUGGGGGACUUUGGAGCCAAAUUUCGGAAUAAUUAAUAAAUCUAAAAAAUUAUGAAAUUAUGGGGGUUUUAUAAAGCAUGUUACAAGCUUUCCAUAGCCUCAAAAACGGACUAAUUCCG
This 315-nucleotide long non-coding RNA is filed under the name Panax ginseng (ginseng). RNAcentral describes it as "long non-coding RNA (PGIN_LNC007273)". The record is from RNAcentral. Lineage: Eukaryota; Viridiplantae; Streptophyta; Magnoliopsida; Apiales; Araliaceae.